CCUUCGGGCGCUGACGAGUGGCGGACGGGUGAGUAAUGCUUGGGAAUCUGGCUUAUGGAGGGGGAUAACUACUGGGAAAACGGGUAAGCUAAAUAACCCGGCGGUAAAUCUCUUAGGAGUAAAGGGUGGGACUUUCGGGCCACCUGCCAUAAGAUGAGCCCAAGUGGGAUUAGGUAGUUGGUGGGGUAAAGGCCUACCAAGCCGACGAUCUCUAGCUGGUCUGAGAGGAUGGCCAGCCACACUGGAACUGAGACACGGUCCAGACUCCUACGGGAGGCAGCAGUGGGGAAUAUUGCACAAUGGGGGGAACCCUGAUGCAGCCAUGCCGCGUGAAUGAAGAAGGCCUUCGGGUUGUAAAGUUCUUUCGGUGAUGAGGAAGGCAGGCUUGUUAAUAGCAAGUUUGAUUGACGUUAGUCACAGAAGAAGCACACGGCUAACUCCGUGCCAGCAGCCGCGGUAAUACGGGAGGGUGGGAGCGUUAAUUCGGGAAAUAAACUGGGGCGUAAAAGGGCACGCAGGCGGAUUGUUAAGUGAGAUGUGAAAGCCCCGAGCUCAACUUGGGAAUUGCAUUUCAGACUGGCAGUCUAGAGUAUUUUAGGGAGGGGUAGAAUUCCACGUGUAGCGGUGAAAUGCGUAGAGAUGUGGAGGAAUACCGAAGGCGAAGGCAGCCCCUUGGGAAUAUACUGACGCUCAUGUGCGAAAGCGUGGGGAGCAAACAGGAUUAGUAUACCCUGUAGUCCACCCCGUAAACGAUGUCGACUUGGAGGUUGUGCCCUUGAGGCGUGGCUUCCGGAGCUAACGCGUUAAGUCGACCGCCUGGGGAGUACGGCCGCAAGGUUAAAACUCAAAUGAAUUGACGGGGGCCCGCACAAGCCGGUUGGAGCAUUUGGUUUUAAAUUUCGAUGCAACGCGAAAGAACCCUUACCUGGCCUUGACAUCCAUAGAAUCA
This 949-nucleotide ribosomal RNA is filed under the name uncultured rumen bacterium. RNAcentral describes it as "bacterial SSU rRNA". It matches the Rfam family "Bacterial small subunit ribosomal RNA", at positions 77 to 998 of the family's 1533-position model. The record is from RNAcentral.